RNAcentral lists this long non-coding RNA (4087 nucleotides) under Pelobates cultripes (western spadefoot toad). Lineage: Eukaryota; Metazoa; Chordata; Amphibia; Anura; Pelobatidae. The record is from RNAcentral.
UCUCAACGUUAAAGGCCUAAACGCCCCCAAAAAACGACGGCUCGUGUUUAGGGAACUAAAAUGCAUGAACCCCGACAUAGCCUUCCUACAGGAGACGCACUUGUCGAAAUCAGCAAAGUUCGCCCUUAAAGACCACACCUUCAGAACCUCUUACGAAGCCAGGGCCCUCAAUAAGAAGAAUGGAGUCGCUAUUCUCAUACAUCACAGAUGCCCAAUUAGGGUCAGCAAGAUUAGUGCGGACCCAGGGGGACGCUAUGUUUUGGUGUCGGGGGCUUUGCAUUCUCAAGCUAUUCAUAUCCUCAAUUUAUACGCUCCUAACGACCUGUCCAGAGAAUUCUGGACAGAGCUGACCCACAUAGUAAACACGUUACCACAUGGAAUGAUCAUAGUAGGGGGGGAUUUUAAUGCAGCUACGUCCCCGGCAAUGGAUAGGGGGCCGUGUAGGGGAAUCCCACGAUCGCACAGACGAGGCAGACAAGACAAAUUAUUACACACAUUCAUACAACAGUCAGGUCUUAUAGACAUAUGGAGGGCUCAACAUCCAGACGAUAGCGACUACAUGUUUUAUUCGCCACCACACGAUACAUAUUCAAGAAUAGACCUUUUUCUGGUGAACCCCCUAACUGUUCCCAAGGUCUCGGAAUCCACGGUGGGAUCCAUAACAUGGUCGGACCACGCAGAUGUUUCCCUUACUCUAGACGAGCUUAGCGCGGCAUCCCCUUGGUCAUGGAAGCUAUAUAGAUCCCUACUAGAAGACCCAGCAAUAGUUGAGACUAUUCGUAUGGAACUCAACGAGUAUUUUGCCAGGGAGGCAGAGUCAGGCGUGUCAAAAGCCACGGUGUGGGCAGCGCAUAAAAUGGUCAUUAGGGGCAUACUGAUUAGAGAAGCGACAUUGAAGAAACGACGUGUCAACUGUUAUCGUCAUUAUUAGAAGUUUUGAGAAAGGCGGAACAACGGCAUAAGUCGGACCCCACACCUACUAAUUUAACGAUGGUGCAGAACGUAAGGAACUCUAUUCGAGAAACACUCCUAGAUAACACUACGAGAGCUAUAGUGUGGUCAAAACGAACCUUCUUUGAAAAAGCUAACAAGAUGGAUACCCUAUUGGCAAGAUCCCUUAGACCUAGACAACGGGGCACACACAUUACGAGGAUUAUGAAUGCAGUAGGAGAAUACCAGACUAAUCCCACAGAGAUUGCCAAGGUGUUCACAGACUAUUAUACCAAACUUUAUCACCACUCGACAGGCGGAGUCAGGGACCCAAGUCAGGAAUUGGAUGGGAUACGAGCGUUCCUCUCUCGGUUACACCUCCCCAAGUUAAACGCGGCGGCUUUGGGUGCCUUGGGCAACCUUGUCUCGGCUGAAGAAAUAGAUGCGGCAAUUUCCGCCUUGAAAAGCAAUAAAGCCCCUGGACCGGAUGGCUUUGAUGGAAGCUACUAUAAAACCUUCCGAGAGGAGCUUGUGCCUCACUUAGAACCCUGGUUCAACAACCUCAUGGACGGGGGGACGCCAGAUAAAGAUAUGUCCUUGGAAAUAUAGUUUUACUAUCUGAACCGGGCAAAGAUGACUCAAUCCCGGAGAAUUUUCGUCCAAUUUCUUUAAUUAAUCACGAUUCCAAAAUUUUUGCAAAAGUGUUGGCAGGUAAAUUGAAUCAGAUCCUUACAGGUCUGAUCCACCCAGAUCAGGUGGGCUUUAUACCUGGGAGACAACUGUUCGAAAACACGAGACGCAAUAUAACCCUUAUAGGAAGACAGGCUACAAAGGGCACUCCGACACUGAUGCUAUCAUUGGAUGCCAAAAAGGCAUUUGACAGAGUCAAAUGGCCCUAUGUAUUUGAGGUAUUAAAUCACUUCGGCAUGCCGGCCCAGUUCGUAACGGCUGUUCGGGCCUUGUACUCAAACGUCAGGGCGCAGAUCCAGAUUUCGGGAGCACGAACCAUCCCAUCUGAGUAAUGGCACGAGACAAGGAUGCCCGCUUUCACCUCUACUGUUCGUUCUUUCGCUGGAACUCCUCAUGCAAACAAUCCGCGAUGCCUCAGAUGUCAAGGGUGUUACCGUGGGAGGUAAGCAAUACGUUAUAUCGGGUUUCGCUGAGGAUAUAUUGUUGACAUUAACGGAUCCGAGGGUUUCUAUGGGGGCUCUGACUGGGAUCCUGGCGGAAUACGGUGAGGUGGCUGGCUAUAAAGUCAACUUACACAAAUCAAGCGCACUCCCCAUAGGUGUGGGGGAAGAGGAAGCGGCGUAUAUAGGGAGGACUUAUCACAUACGUAGAUCGAAGGACCAUAUCAAAUACUUAUGCAUAUGGUUGACGGCGGAUCCCUCCCAACUAUACCAGCAAAAUUACGCCCCGCUAAUUCGACAUUUAAUAAACGACAUGGAGAAGUGGGUAGAUAAACCGAUCUCGUGGAUCGGAAGGAUACAUUCAGUGAAAAUGAAUGUGCUACCCAGGAUACUAUUUCUAUUUCAAGCUCUUCCGGUCCAGGUGACUAAAGCUAAUUUGGAACCGCUUCAACAGGCUAUAGGCAAAUUCAUCUGGCAGAAUAAAAAACACAGGAUCUCCCCUAAUGUACUUUAUAGGGCUAAGGGUAAGGGGGGCCUCGGCCUUCCAAACCUUUAUUUUUACUACGUGGCGGCUCAAUUGGCCCAAACUGCACUAUGGCACUACAGCUUAGGGAUUAUGCCCGAGACUCCCGGAUCAAGACGGCUGCGUUGACGCAGUUAACGUUUUUCGAAAGGAUGUGCAAGAGGGAACAAUUCCCAAGCGGCUUAAUUUCAUGUUUAUAUUCUCAUCUGAGCACUCACACGCUAGAAUGGGGAGAUAUCACAUAUAUAGAUCAGUGGGAAACAGAUCUCAAUGAGGUUCUGGAAGGCAUAGAAUGGCAGGAAAUACGGGAGGCUGCUGCAUCAUCUUCAGUGUGCGUCUCCUUGCAGGAACAAUCCUAUAAGACCUUAUUUCGGUGGUACACCACUCCAGUGACACUUUACCGAAUGCGUAAAAACCCGACGGACCUAUGUUGGAGAGGAUGCAGAUGCAAGGGUACAUAUAUACACGUGGUGGGAAUGCCGGGAGGCACAAACCUAUUGGAAACGGAUUGCUGCAUUGCAAGGAGAUGUUUUUGACAGGAAGGUGAAAUUUGACCCAUGGGUGUUUCUCUUGUCUAGAUCCAUGGAUGGUUGGACAAGAAUUGAGCAAAACCUUAUACACAAAAUAAACCUAGCAGCUUGAAGAGCCCUAGCACAGGUGUGGCUACAGAGGGAGACCCCAACAAUGGCGAUGGUAAAACAAAAAAUAAAAGAUACUUGCCUAAUGGACAAGCUGACAGCACAGGUCAGGGGGACAUUGAAGAAAUUUGAUAAGAUUUGGAACCCCUGGACAAAUAGCACUGUGAGCGAUUAGAGAAAGGCAGACUAAAUUAGACCGUCCAAACAUACAUCACGGGACUUCUGAGAAAGGAAGUAAACCGAAUUACUUGGACCCGGCUAGCAGGUUAAGGUUUUUAGCGGACUCCCAAUGGGGACAGGGCUGGAAAGGAAGCACAUCCCCUAAGAUGUCUUUUUAUCGGGCGGCUACCCUCGGCUUCCCCCUCCCCCUCCUCCCUCUACCCCCUUCUUUGCGACCUCGGACCUUCGAGGCACCUCCUCUAUUUUCCCUUUUCUUUCAUCUCUUAACUUCUUAAUCUUAUCGUCCGACUGUACAUAGUGGGAAUACACGUGCGAGACAAUAGCGACAUGGGAGCAAAUGUACGCUCGUAUAUUAUUCUUAGCCGUUAUUUUCCUCCCCCCCCCCUUUUUUUUUUUUGCAUGUUUGCGUUUGCAAACACGUGUGCAGUCGGCAUAUAUCAUAUCAUAUGUUAUCUGUUAAAUGUUUUAUCUACUAUUCAAAACCAGACGGGAUAUCUAACCAUACAUAGGGAUGAGAUCUUCCUUGAAAAUUAGAGAUGUAAACUCAGUUAGCGGUUUCUAGUUACAGGAUUUGUGCGACCUUGACUGUUCACCCAUCAUACGAAUGUAACAAUGCCAUGAUUACAGUGUACAUGCUUGUUUAUGCAUAACCUUAUGUUGUUGUAUAUGCACUGUUUGUGAUGUCU